This is a long non-coding RNA of Eupeodes corollae, 610 nucleotides long. RefSeq lists it as uncharacterized. The record is from RefSeq and is a predicted model, not a curated record. NCBI's taxonomy places the organism in Eukaryota, Metazoa, Arthropoda, Insecta, Diptera, Syrphidae. The transcript has 3 exons.
UUGAUAAAUCAGAAUUUAAAAUAAAAACACAGAUAAAAGAAAAUUGAACAUCAUGAAAUGCUGACACCGAUAGCCAAUAAAUUGAUAAAAUUUGAAUCUUGCUUCAACAGUUUCAAUUGACUGCUAUAAACGUUACAACAUGAAAAUCGUACUACUAUUUGGAAUCCUCGCUAUUUUUGCGGUCUGUGCUCAAGCUGCCAUUCACCAGUGGGGUGAAGUUGGACCAAGAGAUUAUCUCAUUGCGAAAGAAAAAGUUAAAAAAUCGAGUAUUAUAGGUUUUACUUGUUCGAAAAAAUAUAUUUUCAAACAAGAUAAAAAUGAUUCAAUGACCAUUUCGGCAAUUCGUGUUACUGAUCGGAAAGACAAGUACACUGCGGUGGUAAAUCUAUUGCAUGGAGGAAUUGGAUCAAAAGGUGCUACUUUGGAAUUCAAGUCUAAACGGAGUGAAAACAUAAACUGCCUAGUUGAAAUUUAGGGACGAUAAUAUAUUUCACAUUGCUGUCUUUUUAUUGUAAAUUUUCAUAUGUUAGAAAAUAUAUACAUUUUGUUAAUAAAUUGAAAGUCUUGUGACUGAAAUUUCUGAAAUUUCAGAAAUAUUUCAUGAAGAACA